GACGAACGCUGGCGGCGUGCUUAACACAUGCAAGUCGAACGGAAAGGCCCUGCUUUUGUGGGGUGCUCGAGUGGCGAUCGGGUGAGUAACACGUGAGUAACCUGCCCUUGACUUUGGGAUAACUUCAGGAAACUGGGGCUAAUACCGGAUAGGAGCUCCUGCUGCAUGGUGGGGGUUGGAAAGUUUCGGCGGUUGGGGAUGGACUCGCGGCUUAUCAGCUUGUUGGUGGGGUAGUGGCUUACCAAGGCUUUGACGGGUAGCCGGCCUGAGGGGGUGACCGGCCACAUUGGGACUGAGAUACGGCCCAGACUCCUACGGGAGGCAGCAGUGGGGAAUAUUGCACAAUGGGCGGAAGCCUGAUGCAGCAACGCCGCGUGCGGGAUGACGGCCUUCGGGUUGUAAACCGCUUUCGCCUGUGACGAAGCGUGAGUGACGGUAAUGGGUAAAGAAGCACCGGCUAACUACGUG
This 468-nucleotide ribosomal RNA is filed under the name uncultured bacterium. RNAcentral describes it as "partial 16S ribosomal RNA". It matches the Rfam family "Bacterial small subunit ribosomal RNA", at positions 28 to 507 of the family's 1533-position model. The record is from RNAcentral.